Molecule: ribosomal RNA, 253 nt
Filed under: uncultured bacterium
Lineage: Bacteria
Also listed under: 1 other name
Description: partial 16S ribosomal RNA
Rfam family: Bacterial small subunit ribosomal RNA
Source: RNAcentral
UACGGAGGGUGCGAGCGUUAUUCGGAAUUAUUGGGCGUAAAGCGCGAGUAGGCGGGGAUGCAAGUCUGAUGUGAAAGCCCUGGGCUUAACCUGGGAAGUGCAUUGGAAACUGCAUUUCUUGAGUACUGGAGAGGAAGGGGGAAUUCCCGGUGUAGAGGUGAAAUUCGUAGAGAUCGGGAGGAAUACCAGUGGCGUAGGCGCCUUUCUGGACGGUUACUGACGCUGAGACGCGAAAGCGUGGGGAGCAAACAGG